Chelonia mydas (Green sea turtle) is the source of this 471-nucleotide long non-coding RNA. RefSeq lists it as uncharacterized. The transcript has 4 exons. NCBI's taxonomy places the organism in Eukaryota, Metazoa, Chordata, Testudines, Cheloniidae. The record is from RefSeq and is a predicted model, not a curated record.
AUCCCGGGCGGCGGCGCCGCCGCGUCGGGCCCACUUCCGCACGCACGGCCCGGGGGCGGGGAGAGCGGGGCUGCGAACCUACCCGCGGAGAGGUGCUGCCCCGUCGUCUCUGCCGGCGGCGGGAGACCGUCCCCUCAGCUAAUAAAUCUUUGGUUAGUUUACUAGAGAAAUUGGCUACAGCAUUGUCUUUGGUGAGAUCAAGAGUAUCCAUUGACCUGGGAUUAUUCUGAAAAGCAACUGUAAGUUCCUCUCUUCAGUACUAAGUGGUAGUGUCUCUUAUGAUCAAGUAUUCAUGGAUAGCUUGUUCCAGCAAAUGAUCCCAAUCCAAAGCAAGAAAAGAUCUUUCUAAAAAGGAAAACACAUGUUCCCCUCAAAAAUACAUUUAUUAUCUGAAAGUAUGUUUAAUUUGUAGCGAUUACUAAUCAAAAUAAACUAAAAUAACAGUUGGUACAAGUUUAAGAAAAUCCAAAA